UACGGGGGGGGCAAGCGUUGUUCGGAAUUACUGGGCGGAAAGGGCUCGUAGGUGGCCAACUAAGUCAGACGUGAAAUCCCUCGGCUUAACCGGGGAACUGCGUCUGAUACUGGAUGGCUUGAGUUUGGGAGAGGGACGCGGAAUUCCAGGUGUAGCGGUGAAAUGCGUAGAUAUCUGGAGGAACACCGGUGGCGAAGGCGGCGUCCUGGACCAACACUGACGCUGAGACGCGAAAGCUAGGGGAGCAAACGGG
RNAcentral lists this ribosomal RNA (253 nucleotides) under uncultured bacterium. RNAcentral describes it as "partial 16S ribosomal RNA". It matches the Rfam family "Bacterial small subunit ribosomal RNA", at positions 524 to 776 of the family's 1533-position model. The record is from RNAcentral.